Molecule: transfer RNA, 85 nt
Rfam family: tRNA
About the family: Transfer RNA (tRNA) molecules are approximately 80 nucleotides in length.
GGGGACAUGGCGCAGCGGUAGCGCGUCUGCUUUGCAUUCUUAUGUUUCUUGUAGAAGGUCAGGGGUUCAAGCCCCCUUGUCUCCA